ACACAUGCAAGUCGAGCGGUAAGGCCCUUCGGGGUACACGAGCGGCGAACGGGUGAGUAACACGUGGGUGAUCUGCCUCGUACUCUGGGAUAAGCCUGGGAAACUGGGUCUAAUACCGGAUAUGACCACGAGUCGCAUGGUUUGUGGUGGAAAGAUUUAUCGGUGCGAGAUGGGCCCGCGGCCUAUCAGCUUGUUGGUGGGGUAAUGGCCUACCAAGGCGACGACGGGUAGCCGGCCUGAGAGGGCGACCGGCCACACUGGGACUGAGACACGGCCCAGACUCCUACGGGAGGCAGCAGUGGGGAAUAUUGCACAAUGGGCGGAAGCCUGAUGCAGCGACGCCGCGUGCGGGAUGACGGCCUUCGGGUUGUAAAC
This 375-nucleotide ribosomal RNA is filed under the name Nocardia sp. 13-585. Its description in RNAcentral is "bacterial SSU rRNA". It matches the Rfam family "Bacterial small subunit ribosomal RNA", at positions 51 to 430 of the family's 1533-position model. Lineage: Bacteria; Bacillati; Actinomycetota; Actinomycetes; Mycobacteriales; Nocardiaceae. The record is from RNAcentral.